Molecule: unclassified non-coding RNA, 3764 nt
Filed under: Daphnia magna
Lineage: Eukaryota; Metazoa; Arthropoda; Branchiopoda; Diplostraca; Daphniidae
Description: tRNA (guanine(10)-N2)-methyltransferase homolog, transcript variant X2
Source: RNAcentral
ACUUCAGCUGUUGUUUCCGUGACAUUGGUGAGUAGCAGACGAUCAUUAUUUGAAUAAAAAUAGUCAGUCAGACAAAUGGCAGCGCGACACACGUGGAAAUCUUAUUUACUUUGGUGUGCAAAUGAACAUGUGUCCUUCAGAAUUCCUGAAGUUGAAGCUAUUUUAGCAAUGUACAAAAUUCCACAUACAUGGAUAGAAAAACCAGCAGAAAAUCCUUGGAUGCUCAUUUCCAUGCCCAGUGAGGAUUGUGCAAUAAAGCUUAUGAAGAGAUCUGUCACAGUUCGGUCCAUAAUCGAGUUGUGGGCAAGAUCAACCACAAAAGAACACCUUGAUGACCAACUAAAAAUCCUACCUACUGAAUUUACAUUUUAUUUCAAAAAGGAAAACACAUUCAAAGUUGUGGUGGAUACAUUUAAUAAAGUAACAAGCCAAGAGGAUAAAAUAAAAAAAAUUGAGUCUUUUAGUUUUCUGCCUAUUCUUGGAACUGCCAAUUUGAAAAACCCAAGUGUGACCUAUCAUUAUUAUGAAUUUUUUGGACUUGAUGCAGGACGUAUUCCGGAGAAUCCGUAUGAUUACUUUUUUGGCAGAUGGGUUUCGAAUAGCGAAAGAUCGGCCGUAGAAAAAUAUUCCCUUAAGACUAGACACUUCAUUGGCAACACUAGCAUGGAUCCUAAAUUAUCGAUGAUUAUGGCUAACCUUGCCCAGAUUGACGAUGGCCAUGUAGUUGUUGACCCUUUUGUUGGGACAGGAUCUCUUCUAGUAGCCGCAGCUCAUUUCGGUGGUUAUGUUUGCGGCACGGAUAUAGAUUAUCUCACACUUCACGGGAAGAUGAAACCUAGUAGAGCUCAUCAAAAAAAACGUCAACCAGAUGAGGAUAUCAAGGGGAACCUCAAGACUUACAAUCUCUUCUCGCGCUAUUUAGACGUGUUUGUGGGUGACGCAUCCAGACCCGUUUGGAGACCGGAAUUUCGUUUCGAUUCCAUAAUAACCGAUCCACCCUACGGAAUUCGCGAAUCGACAGAAAAAGUGGGCAGCAAGAAAAUAGCUCCUGUUCCGGAAGAACUAGCUUCACCACAUUUCCCUUCAAAAACCCAAUAUGGUUUAGGCGAUAUGUACAAAGAUCUUCUCAAUUUUGCUGCCAACAACCUCAAAGUAAAUGGAAGAGUGGUAUUUUGGAUUCCGAUUAUAAGAAUGGAAUACGAUCCUGACCUGUUACCAGAACAUCCCUGUCUUGAAACGGUAGCCAAUAGCGAGCAAAUCCUUAAUUUGCAUUCCAGCCGGCGGUUAAUCACUAUGCAAAAAACGAUGGAACCCAAAGAAGCAGCAGAUUCGGCAAUAAUCCAUGAUCUGCAGUACACUUUCCGCCACAAGUUCUUUAACACCGGUGAAAUUAAAGGGCGUGCGAGAGAAGAUGUGCAAGCCGAAUAUCUCACUAAAAGAAGUAAACGUGGAAAUGGAGUAGCAAAAUUGCCAUGUAAUGAGUAAAUCAACGAAUUUUUAAUACGGCGCGCAAUACACGUUUGAAGAAUAGACGGGAAGAACACGUGAUGCACUAAUAAAAACAAGGCCGGCUUGGUAAGACCUGUAGCAUUCAACGCGUCAGCCACAUGAAUGAUUUAUGCAAUGAAUCCAAAGGAAAAAUAUUGCGGAUCUGGCGCUUUUUCCCUAUAAACAGCAUGGUCCAGACGCAGGUGCGCCAAUACUCUCGGUACGUUUUGAUUAUAUUCUCACUGUUACACUGUUAUAGCUAUGAAAGUUAAAAGGGCGUUCCCCAAAAGUUCAAUACUCUUAAAGGUUAAAAGUCGUGAUGUCCUUUUCUGCAUUUGACGUCUACCAACAGCUUCCCAGUCCAUUUCCGUCAGUUAGAAUAACGAAAAGAUUUAGUUUUUUUGGCGGCGUGCUCUGGAAAAAUGUCUUGUAUUCCCGGUCCUUUGUCGGGGUUGGUGAAUUUCGCUUCCUCGCGCAAUUGCUUUCGUAUUUUUGCGAGAGAGAUGGUUAGGAGGUCUAUGUGAACUUGCCCUCGUAUUGCUGUCCACUUUGAAAUAAAAGCAAUUAAUUAUUUCGUUAGUUUUUCGUGAUUAAUUAGACUUUAAAAUUUCAGUUUUCCUCUUACUAUGUCGGCAUCGUUCGAGUUUUUGUGGAUCCUGUAGAAAAUUUAACUGAAAUUGCUCCCCUUUAAAACAUGUCCAAUGUGAAAUUAGCUUCCUUUUCAUUAGACAAACUAAUCGGGAUUUUGUAUACCAUAAAUCGUUGGCUUCUAAGUGAUUGAAGGUAUAAUUGAAAGUAUGUAUUGAAGGUACUGUUUCAUUACCUGUCCUAAUUCCCUUGAAUCCUCAGGCUCUGAAUAAUUAAUCUAGAAACGCAGGACAAUAUGCGAUUGAAUUUCGUCAGUGUUCGUAUUAAUCUAAUUGUAAUACCACAAUAGAAACAAUUCUUUUUUUCGAAUCGGAAAUCUUGCAUCCUCCUUAUCUGAGGCGGAUGAAGAUCAAUGUCUUCUCUCUGCAAUCGGCGAGGAAUCAGACUGAAAUAGUGGUCAAUUUGCUUCGAGAUAUUUAGAUGACUGCUAUAAUAUUGUAUUCGGAUAGAAUGUUUUUAAUUUCCGGUCUUAUGUCUGGAUUCUCAGAUACCAUCUUGAUAAGCAGCCGUUUCUGCGUGCAAGAAAAUUUAAUGCCCGAUAAAACAAAGUGUAUCUCUGUGUGUCUGCUUACUUACAAACUUUGUGCCGUAGAUUUCUUCAAAUUUAGGUGGGAGCUGGUAAACUUUCAAGUUGGAAAUGGCUAUCAGUCGCUCGGAAGCGGAACCGAAUGGAAUCAGCAGUUCGAAGAGGAUGAUAGCCAGUGCAUAGACGUCCACCUUGUGGUUAUACGUUUGGCAUUUCUCCUGUUCAGGUGCCAUGUAAGGCUUGGUGCCAACAUAGACCGUGUGAUUCAUCCGAGAAGUACCCGUUCCUGACCGCGUCUGUCCGUAGUCCACAUCGGAGGUUAGUAGAGCCUGUUCCAUUGUCAUUCCUUUGCUUAGUCCGAAAUCGCCAAUUUUAAUUGACCAUUCGGAGUUGAAGAAAAUGUUACUUGGCUUUAAAUCACGAUGAAUUAUAUUCUACAGAAUUAAUACCAAAAGAUGAAAAACCAUUGCAGAAAAGAAAAUAAACUUUUAAUUAGAACCUGAUUGUGGAGAUAAUGCACCGCCUGUAAAAUAGAUUGAAACAUGUUGUUAACGUCCAGUUGAACACGUUGGGAAAUCGGAGUCUUCAGCCAAUCGGCCAGAUUUUCUUUGCGACAAAGCUCCAUCUUGAUAUACAAAUACAGCCAUUCUCUCUGAACCUCGUCAUCCCUUCGCGUGGCGCUGCCAUCGCUUUUUGCUGACAAUGCCAGCUGAUUAGACAGAGAAGAGUCGCUGACAUUUCCCCAACGCUCGUCCUCCAUUUUCAUUCGUUUUUCGUAAUCGAUGCUAAUUUCAGCCUCACUAGAAAAAUCGUCACUUUGGCUAGACCACGACACGUCAACCUGAUCUUGUUUGCUGUUUCUCCGCCAUGACGGUGGAAGAGUCUCCCACCAGCCGCAGUAGUACUGGACUAUAUUGGGAUGAUGCAAUCGUCGCAUUUCCUGACCAAAGUCAGUGAACGAGAUGUAUUAAUACGAUGCUUAAUGAGGCAAAGACGAUCACAGAAUUGAAAUGUAAUUCUUACAGUUAACUCCCUCAUACUGCUGUAUACCAAUUCCACAUCGUCGUCGUUUGAUAGUUUAAUGCAUUUGAUAGCAAAGGUC